This 1115-nucleotide small RNA is filed under the name Homo sapiens (human). Its description in RNAcentral is "MYCLo-4 long non-coding RNA". The record is from RNAcentral. Lineage: Eukaryota; Metazoa; Chordata; Mammalia; Primates; Hominidae.
AAUCCUAAAUACUGAUAAUAUUCAUUAUGUUCUUGAAUGACAGAGUCUAAAUCAGAAGCUGAACUUUGAGAAGACAAGGUACUAAUCUGAUUCCUAUUUUCCUGAGGUGACGAAAUUUGCGGUGAUUUUGUUAUGGAAGAAGAACCAAUCUUGAAUAGGGAAGUGAUGCUACAAAAAUGCUAAAAAAUGAAUUAAUAUAAUGCAAAUGUCAGUUUAGUAAAUAUAAAUAAUGAUGCUUAUCUAUAUGGAAAGAAGGCAAAAUAUAAAUAGGUAGUCUAUUCAUAGAUAUUACAUUGAUCCAGGUAUUAAGAACAUGAAAUCAUUAGGCUCUAUUAAAAGAAAAAUUCAUUGUAAUUCAUACUUAUUUUCUAAUCACUUGUAAUAGAAUUUUUAAUAGUCUAUUUUUCAGAACAAUUUUAGGCUCACAGCAAAUACAAUAGAAUUUUAGUUAUACAAUUCAUACAUGAAUACUAUUUCCUUGAUAAGAAUUUUAAAAUAUUACCAGUAAGGCUAAAGUUAUCUUUACAGCUAGAAUUAAGGGUAUGUUAGGACUGUUUGGAAGAGGUAACGUAAAUACAUGUGAAUAGGGUAUAUAACUGAAUUUUCUAUGAGCACAAUAAUAUUCCAAAAUGAUUUAAAGCUGACUAUAUUGAAUUUAUCUGUAUAAAAUAGCUUUAGAAUGUAUAAUAUAGGCUGGGGUUUAUGGCUCAUGCCUGUAAUCCUAGCACUUUGGGAGGCCAAGGCAGUUAGAUCACUUGAGGUCAGGAGUUUGAGACCAGCCUGGCCAACAUGGUAAGACCCUGUCUCUACUAAAAAUACAAAACUUAACCAGGUGUGGUGGUGCACAACUGCAGUCCUAGCUGCUCGGGAGGCUGAGGCACGAGAAUUGCUUGAACCCAGGAGCUGGAGACUGCAGUGAGCCGAGAUCAAGCCAUUGCACUCCAGCCUGGGUGACAGAGGGAGACUCCAUCUCAAAAAAAAAGAAAAAAAUACUGUAAUCCCAGCACUUUGGGAGGCCAAGGUGGGUGGAUCACCUGAGGUCAGGAGUUUGAGACCAGACUGACCAAGAUGGUGAAACCCCGUUUCUACAAAAAAAAAAAAAAAAAAAAAAAAAA